GGUGAGAUGGCCGAGUUGGUUAUGGCGCCAGGUUAAGGAAUUCUCCUUAGCAUAUUAUAUCCUGGUAGGGAAACCUGCGUGGGUUCAAGUCCCACUCUCAUCA
RNAcentral lists this transfer RNA (103 nucleotides) under Terfezia boudieri ATCC MYA-4762. It matches the Rfam family "tRNA". Rfam says of the family: Transfer RNA (tRNA) molecules are approximately 80 nucleotides in length. The record is from Rfam by way of RNAcentral. Lineage: Eukaryota; Fungi; Ascomycota; Pezizomycetes; Pezizales; Pezizaceae.